UGAGAUAGGCCAGCGUGCUUUAUCGAGCCC
Molecule: non-coding RNA, 30 nt
Filed under: Rattus norvegicus (Norway rat)
Lineage: Eukaryota; Metazoa; Chordata; Mammalia; Rodentia; Muridae
Source: RNAcentral